UGGGGAAUAUUGCACAAUGGAGGGAACUCUGAUGCAGCGACGCCGCGUGAACGAAGAAGGCUUUCGAGUCGUAAAGUUCUUUUAUAUGGGAAGAUAAUGACGGUACCAUAAGAAAAAGCCCCGGCUAACUACGUGCCAGCAGCCGCGGUAAUACGUAGGGGGCUAGCGUUGUCCGGAAUCACUGGGCGUAAAGGGUUCGCAGGUGGAAAUGCAAGUCAGGUGUAAAAGGCAGUAGCUUAACUACUGUAAGCAUUUGAAACUGCAUAUCUUGAGAAGAGUAGAGGUAAGUGGAAUUUUUAGUGUAGCGGUGAAAUGCGUAGAUAUUAAAAAGAAUACCGGUGGCGAAGGCGACUUACUGGGCUCAUUCUGACGCUGAGGAACGAAAGCGUGGGUAGCAAACAGG
Molecule: ribosomal RNA, 403 nt
Filed under: bacterium
Lineage: Bacteria
Also listed under: 2 other names
Description: partial 16S ribosomal RNA
Rfam family: Bacterial small subunit ribosomal RNA
Source: RNAcentral